This 162-nucleotide ribosomal RNA is filed under the name uncultured bacterium. RNAcentral describes it as "partial 16S ribosomal RNA". It matches the Rfam family "Bacterial small subunit ribosomal RNA", at positions 355 to 509 of the family's 1533-position model. The record is from RNAcentral.
UGGGGAAUAUUGCGCAAUGGACGAAAGUCUGACGCAGCGACGCCGCGUGAGGGAUGAAGGUUUUCGGAUCGUAAACCUCUGUCAGGAGGGAAGAAAGCGCAUGGCGCCAAUCAGUCAUGCGUUGACGGUACCUCCAAAGGAAGCGCCGGCUAACUCCGUGCC